Molecule: RNA transcript, 673 nt
Organism: Colias croceus (clouded yellow)
Lineage: Eukaryota; Metazoa; Arthropoda; Insecta; Lepidoptera; Pieridae
Gene: Taf13
Gene name: transcription initiation factor TFIID subunit 13
Exons: 6
Source: RefSeq, a predicted model, not a curated record
UUUCAUACAUGUUGUUGAUUUUUAAAAUUUUUAUUUAAUAAAUACAUAUAAAUUAUUAGGUAUAGGUAUACUUUUCAUUUUUGGAAAUAAGUAAUAACAUGGCUACUCCAACUCCCGAUACACCAGAACAAUACGACCAGUUUGAUGACGAGGAGUCAGAUCAACAAUUAGGGGCAACAGCUUCUGGCAGAAAGAGACUAUUUAGUAAAGAGCUUCGGUGUAUGAUGUAUGGAUUUGGUGACGAUCGAAAUCCGUACACUGAAAGUGUGGAUUUUUUAGAAGAUCUUGUUAUUGAGUUUAUAACCGAAACUACACACAGAGCAAUGGAAGUUGGAAGACCAGGCAGAGUGCAAGUUGAAGAUAUAAUUUUCUUAGUUCGUAAGGAUUUUCGUAAAUAUGCUCGUGUUAAGGACUUGCUUACAAUGAAUGAAGAACUUAAGAAAGCUAGAAAAGCUUUUGAUGAGGUUAAAUAUGUUGAAGAUCAACAAUAGUAUUGGCAGUCAAAAUGCUGCUCAUGCUUCUUAGACUGAUGCAAAGUGAUAAUAGUUUACAAAAUGGACCAAAUAUUAUUGAUGAAGACAAGAAUAUUUAUGGCAAUAUAAAAUGCCUGAAUAGCAGUUUGUGGGGAGUUUAUAUAAGUGAAAAAUAAGUUAUAAUAAAAGACAUGAAUGAG